This 253-nucleotide ribosomal RNA is filed under the name uncultured bacterium. RNAcentral's name for it is "partial 16S ribosomal RNA". It matches the Rfam family "Bacterial small subunit ribosomal RNA", at positions 524 to 776 of the family's 1533-position model. The record is from RNAcentral.
UACGGGGGGGGCAAGCGUUAUCCGGAGUUACUGGGCGUAAAGGGCGUGCAGGUGGUCUGUUAAGUCUGGCGUGAAAGCUCCUGGCUAAACCGGGAGAGGUCGUUGGAUACUGGCGGACUAGAGGACGGUAGAGGCGUGUGGAAUUCCGGGUGUAGUGGUGAAAUGCGUAGAGAUCCGGAGGAACACCAGUGGCGAAGGCGACACGCUGGGCCGUACCUGACACUGAUACGCGACAGCAUGGGGAGCGAACGGG